UUUUACUUGUCGGAGUGCCUUGGGUAUUAACUCAAAGGCUGAGAUCGCGAAAGCGGGAUCCGUGAACCUGAUCAGGCUAACACCUGCGUAGGGAACAAGCUGCCUUAAACA
Non-coding RNA from Pseudoalteromonas sp. A601, 111 nucleotides. Lineage: Bacteria; Pseudomonadati; Pseudomonadota; Gammaproteobacteria; Alteromonadales; Pseudoalteromonadaceae. The record is from Rfam.